CCCCUAGAUGUCCUGGGCCGCACGCGCAAUACAAUGUAAAGUUCAGAAAGCAUAUCCUGUUCCGGAAGGCAAUGGGUAAUCUUUUCAAUAUUUUACGUGUUAGGGAUCGAUCUUUGCAAUUAUAGAUCUUGAACGAGGAAUACCUAGUAAGUGCAGCUCAUCAGGCUGUACUGAUUACGUCCCUGCCCUUUGUACACACCGCCCGUCGCUCCUACCGAUUUCGAGUGGACCGGUGAAUCUUUUGGAAUUAGAGUGCAAACUCAAACUAAGAUCGAUAAACCUUAUCACUUAGAGGAAGGAGAAGUCGUAACA
Molecule: ribosomal RNA, 312 nt
Filed under: uncultured eukaryote
Lineage: Eukaryota
Description: partial 18S ribosomal RNA
Rfam family: Eukaryotic small subunit ribosomal RNA
Source: RNAcentral